RNAcentral lists this ribosomal RNA (301 nucleotides) under uncultured bacterium. RNAcentral's name for it is "partial 16S ribosomal RNA". It matches the Rfam family "Bacterial small subunit ribosomal RNA", at positions 509 to 807 of the family's 1533-position model. The record is from RNAcentral.
CAGCCGCCGCGGUAAAACGAAGGGGGCUAGCGUUGCUCGGAAUGACUGGGCGUAAAGGGCACGUAGGCGGAUGGUACAGUCAGGCGUGAAAUUCCUGGGCUCAACCUGGGGACUGCGUUUGAUACGUAUUGUCUAGAGUUUGGAAGAGGGUCGUGGAAUUCCCAGUGUAGAGGUGAAAUUCGUAGAUAUUGGGAAGAACACCGGUGGCGAAGGCGGCGACCUGGUCCUUGACUGACGCUGAGGCGCGAAAGCGUGGGGAGCAAACAGGAUUAGAUACCCCCGUAGUCCCUGUCUCUUAUAC